Dreissena polymorpha is the source of this 1191-nucleotide long non-coding RNA. RefSeq lists it as uncharacterized. The record is from RefSeq and is a predicted model, not a curated record. The transcript is spliced from 2 exons. NCBI's taxonomy places the organism in Eukaryota, Metazoa, Mollusca, Bivalvia, Myida, Dreissenidae.
AUAGGUUGGAGAUAUCUAAGAGGUGAAAGGGUUCGUAUUUUCAAUAGGAUACAUUGAUUUUGCCAAGUCUCCAAACAUGAACAACUCUGUAAUGCUUUUCGUGAUCGUCGGCUUGCUUGUUAAAUGGACAGAAGGCAACUAACGGAUCUUAACGUCUUCAUGCAACAUCACGAUGAGCAGCGCAAUUGUUGUAUUCGAUUCUCGACCGAGCACAAUACAUGUUACGUAUAGCGGACAGUCUAUAGUGUGCGAGCCUAUUUGAUCCUAAAUCGGACUUAACGAAGGCAAUAAAAUGAGGAAAACGAAAUUAUUACUUUUAUCGUUACUGUGUGUCUGUUUCUUGUGUUUGUUCGGACUUUGGUUUCUGGGAUUGUUUGGACCCGCCCAUAAUAGGGCGCUUAACGAGAUGCUAAGUCCGCCGAUUGACGUAAACCAAGAUUGCAAGUUUGUGUACGUUGAUUUAGGUAGCAACAAGGGCGUGCAGGUACGGAAGUUGUACGAGCCAUUGCUGUAUCCGGGUGCGGCUAUCAUACCGUUCUUCGACACGUUAUUUGGAAAAAUAGCCCAGUCUAGCCGUCGUGGGAUGUGUGUUCGUUUGGAUUUGAGGCUAAUCCACGUCAUAUGGGUCGCCUGAAGCACAUUGAACGUUCAUAUCGACGUAAAGGACUCAAUGUCACGUUUUACAAUAACGCCGUUUCAAACAGAACUGGAGAUAUUGUGACCAUAUAUUCGGACACAAAUUUUGACAUCGACUGGGGCGCUGGCAUUCUGGAUACGGCCAUUGAUAACAAAAAUAAUAUGACAGAAUAUAAAGUCCGUACCAUCGAUAUUGUUCACUUCAUUCGAAAUCAGAUUGUCCCCCUCAAACCAAAGGAAGUUUUCAUGAAAAUGGACAUCGAGGGAUCGGAAUACAUCGUCCUGCCACAGAUGAUUCAGACAUCAACCCUUUGCAAAGAUGUCAUAACAUCAUUUGUGAUCGAAAUGCACGAGUGGGCUAAGAAACCUAUGGGGUCGACUCUAACAUUUGACGAUGUAAGAAAUAUGCUAGGGAAGCAAGGUUGCGUCCCUUCUGAAAUGGUAUCUGUCGACGACGAAAGUUAUUUACAUGACAUCCCCAGAGACCCUAGUUGGUAACAAUAAAAAAAGAUUGUGCAUAUAGAUGUGUUACAUAAUAAGUUGACUACCGUUUCA